Molecule: long non-coding RNA, 1089 nt
Filed under: Panax ginseng (ginseng)
Lineage: Eukaryota; Viridiplantae; Streptophyta; Magnoliopsida; Apiales; Araliaceae
Description: long non-coding RNA (PGIN_LNC011489)
Source: RNAcentral
UAGACCUUAGAUACCUAGAUGUUCGUGUUGCUAAGUUUCAGGCUAUUUGUUUCUCUUUCUUCCAAAUGACUCAAGGAUUAGAAAGUAUGAGUACAAAAUCACUCCUGCAAUCUAUGAAGGGAUACCUAGCUCGUAGUAAGUCGAUUGUUUGACUUUGUAAUGAAUUGUACAUCUAUUGUUAAAUUUUAUCUUCACCUUCUUUUUUCCCCUUGAUCUACAUUCUCAUUUCAGAGUUGUGUUAUGCAUCCUAUGAUGUUCAAUGAUCGUCUCCGGAUACAUAUCAUGAAAAUGAAUUCAAUGUGCAAUAUGUAUAUAUAUAUAUAUACACACACACACACACGUGUCCAUCAUUAACCACUCCCAUUUUUUGGUAUCAUCAGCGCUCGGGACAAUUCAGUCAUCAGGGUUCCAAAACAACCAACACAAAAACCUCUUGAGCAAAAAUAAUCAUCUCGAGUCCAAAAUCUAACUCAAUCAGCUUUUGACAAACCAACCAAUUGAGCUCAUUGACACCCAAUAAUCCAAAUAAGAAAAACAAAAUCAUGCUCAGAUGUAAUCAAUCAAAAUAUAAAAUAAACAAACCACAACACACUUCCCACGCAUUCCCAAUUCCUUCAACAACACAUGCAUCAACUAUAGAAACACAACAUCUUCCAGAACAGAGCAAUAAAGAUUUGAAAAUUUAGAACUUGAACACAGAACACCCAUUUAGCUGCUGAGGAAAACAGAGGAAAGAAUCAAUCAAAGAUGCAAAAAAACCAAUUAAAAUCAUUAAAAAAACAAAAUUUUAAAAAAAUCUUGUUUCUACAGGCUUGCAACAAUUGCUUAACAAAAUCUGAAAAUAAGGGAAUUAGGGCUUGGAAAUGAAAAUUAUAAUUUACCUGGGAGAGAAAGAAACUGCUCCUUUUUUUGCUCUCUGUUUCUCUCUCUAUUUUUGUGCUUUAAUUCUCCACCGCUAAUGGAAACUGUUAUUUGUCUGCGUGUCUGAGAGAGAGAGAGUAUGUUAAUGUUUUUGGGCAGGACAGAUAGUACUAUAGAAGUAGUAGUAGUAGUAGUUAUUACCCGCGUACUUUCACUGCAAUAACCAAU